ACCUGCCCUUAACUUCGGGAUAAGCCUGGGAAACCGGGUCUAAUACCGGAUACGACCACCUGGCGCAUGCCAUGGUGGUGGAAAGCUUUAUGCGGUUUUGGAUGGACUCGCGGCCUAUCAGCUUGUUGGUUGGGGUAAUGGCCCACCAAGGCGACGACGGGUAGCCGGCCUGAGAGGGUGACCGGCCACACUGGGACUGAGACACGGCCCAGACUCCUACGGGAGGCAGCAGUGGGGAAUAUUGCACAAUGGGCGAAAGCCUGAUGCAGCGACGCCGCGUGAGGGAUGACGGCCUUCGGGUUGUAAACCUCUUUCAGCAGGGAAGAAGCGAAAGUGACGGUACCUGCAGAAGAAGCGCCGGCUAACUACGUGCCAGCAGCCGCGGUAAUACGUAGGGCGCAAGCGUUAUCCGGAAUUAUUGGGCGUAAAGAGCUCGUAGGCGGUUUGUCGCGUCUGCUGUGAAAGCCCGGGGCUCAACCCCGGGUCUGCAGUGGGUACGGGCAGACUAGAGUGAUGUAGGGG
This 522-nucleotide ribosomal RNA is filed under the name Arthrobacter sp. WH009008s. Its description in RNAcentral is "bacterial SSU rRNA". It matches the Rfam family "Bacterial small subunit ribosomal RNA", at positions 124 to 657 of the family's 1533-position model. The record is from RNAcentral. Lineage: Bacteria; Bacillati; Actinomycetota; Actinomycetes; Micrococcales; Micrococcaceae.